RNAcentral lists this ribosomal RNA (923 nucleotides) under bacterium SCS_30Z1_39_2. Its description in RNAcentral is "bacterial SSU rRNA". It matches the Rfam family "Bacterial small subunit ribosomal RNA", at positions 78 to 1048 of the family's 1533-position model. The record is from RNAcentral.
CUUCGGAGUGGAGGUGGGCAAACGGGUGAGUAACGCGUGGGAAACUACCUGGUGGUCUGGAAUAACUUGGGGAAACUCAAGCUAAUACCGGAUGUGCCCUUCGGGGGAAAGAUUUAUCGCCAUUGGACGUGCCCGCGUCGGAUUAGCUAGUUGGUGAGGUAAUGGCUCACCAAGGCUACGAUCCGUAGCUGGUCUUAAAGGAUGAUCAGCCACACUGGGACUGAAACACGGCCCAAACUCCUACGGGAGGCAGCAGUGGGGAAUAUUGGACAAUGGGCGCAAGCCUGAUCCAGCCAUGCCGCGUGAGUGAUGAAGGCCUUAGGGUUGUAAAGCUCUUUCGCCGGGGAAGAUAAUGACGGUACCCGGAAAAAAAGCCCCGGCUAACUUCGUGCCAGCAGCCGCGGUAAUACGAAGGGGGCUAGCGUUGUUCGGAAUUACUGGGCGUAAAGCGCACGUAGGCGGGUCGUUAAGUCAGGGGUGAAAGCCCGGAGCUCAACUCCGGAAUUGCCCUUGAUACUGGCGACCUUGAGUCCGAGAGAGGUAAGUGGAACUCCGAGUGUAAAGGUGAAAUUCGUAGAUAUUCGGAAGAACACCAGUGGCGAAGGCGGCUUACUGGCUCACGUACUGACACUGAGGUGCGAAAGCGUGGAGAGCAAACAGGAUUAUAUACGCUUGGUAGUCCACGCCGUAAACGAUGGGUGCUAUCCCUCGGACAGCAUGCUGUUCUGUGGCGCGCUAACGCAUUAUACACCCCGACUGGGGAGUACGGCCGCAAGAUUAAAACUCAUCUAAUUGAUGGGGGCCGCCCAAUCAGGGAGAUGUGGUGUAUUCUUCGAACGUUCAAACCUAACUACCCUUGACUGUCUCGUUUGUUACCGGAAAGUUAUCCUACACUUCGGCUCGGCAGACACAGCGCUGCAUGG